RNAcentral lists this ribosomal RNA (1179 nucleotides) under Triticum aestivum (bread wheat). Its description in RNAcentral is "partial small subunit ribosomal RNA". Lineage: Eukaryota; Viridiplantae; Streptophyta; Magnoliopsida; Poales; Poaceae. The record is from RNAcentral.
AUGGACGAAGACGAACCCAUGCCACCAGUCGACGGCGAUGAGUCCGACGACGACGCCGCGGAGCGCCUCCCGGACUUGACCUUGUACAAGAUCCUUACCCUCCUGCCGCCGUCCUCGGCCACGAGGUGCAAGGUCGUCUGCAAGAGAUGGCGCUCAAUGAUCUCCAGCCCCUCCUUCGUGCGUGACCAUGCCGCAGCCGUGCGCUCGAGGGACCCUUCCAUCCUCCUCUUCGACGGCGCCGCCCGCUUCCCGGGCAGGAUCGUCGACGAGAACAGGACAGCGAGGCUGGCGCUGCGCCGAUGGAGGGCAGAGCCCACGGAGGGCUACGGCGUGCAGAACUGCUGCGGCUCCCUCGCCUGCCUUCGGAACGGACUCGGCGGGGCCGAGCUAGUCAACCCGGCUACCGGCGACUGCUUCCGUCUUGGCGGUGACAGCGACGUCGUCCGCGACCGCGGCACGAGGACGGGAGCCGACCAGCUCCCCUGGUACUGCCUCGGACGCUGCCCGUCGACCGGCGAGUACAAGGUGAUACGCUUCGACAUCCGCGUGCCCUACUCCAGCGCCCCGCACGUCACGUGCGAGGUCUGCGCCCUCGGUGGCCGCGGCGGCCAGGGCCUCAGCCGCAUGUGGCGGGAGGUGGGAGUGUGGGAUGUGAACUUCUGCCCGAGCGAUGGCGGCGUGCACAUCGCCGGCGUGGUGUACUACGUUGCUAACUUCUUGGGGGCACCCUUUGUCGUCGGCUUCGACCUUUCGACUUACCAGCUGCGCCACAUCGACCUCCCCGCGGUCGACGACGCGGUGGCGUCGCUCUCCGAGCUCGAGGGGCGGCUCUGCGCGUCACUGGUGCCCGCUGGGCAGUGGUGCGGCGACGGCGGGGUGAACAUGGACCUGUGGGUGCUCCCCGACGGCGGCCAGGACCAGCACGAGUGGAUCCACAGGUACAGGUUUGAGCUGGACGGCAGCGCGAGGCACAUCCCGAGGCCGCUGUUCGUAAGCGGCGGCAGGAGGCUGAUCAUGAAGUGCGCCGACGGGUCGCUAUGCUCCUACGACGUUGCCGGCGGUAGUGACGAAGGUGCUUUCUUGGUAUUCCAGCACAAGAGCGGGCAGCGGAUGAGAGGCGCCACCGCCGACGUCUUCGUGGAGAGUUUGCUCCCCGUGCGCACCAUCCUGCAAUCCUAG